Molecule: long non-coding RNA, 182 nt
Organism: Mastomys coucha (southern multimammate mouse)
Lineage: Eukaryota; Metazoa; Chordata; Mammalia; Rodentia; Muridae
Exons: 3
Source: RefSeq, a predicted model, not a curated record
GGAGCAGCAAAGACCUCAUCGCCCUGGCUCAGAUCUCCAGAGGGCACUGCUGUGAGAGCUGAUUUAGCCCGGAGGACUCUCUCCUCGGCACUCAGGGCUACGCUUGGACCUUGCUGGGAUUCUCCUGCCUCCAAUUUCUGAGCGUUGAGAUUACAGGGGUUGCCAGCAAGGCUGCACCUUCA